UGCAGAUGAUGAUACUGAAUAUUUGCUAUCUAAAACACACUGUUGACAAUUUCCCACCAAGAUCGCUGAUGCA
This 73-nucleotide small nucleolar RNA is filed under the name Neogobius melanostomus (round goby). Its description in RNAcentral is "Small nucleolar RNA SNORD24 (ENSNMLG00000021593.1)". It matches the Rfam family "Small nucleolar RNA SNORD24". Rfam says of the family: U24 is a member of the C/D class of snoRNA which contain the C (UGAUGA) and D (CUGA) box motifs. C/D box snoRNAs have been shown to act as methylation guides for a number of RNA targets. The record is from Rfam by way of RNAcentral. Lineage: Eukaryota; Metazoa; Chordata; Actinopteri; Gobiiformes; Gobiidae.